Molecule: ribosomal RNA, 500 nt
Filed under: uncultured Glomeromycotina
Lineage: Eukaryota; Fungi; Glomeromycota
Description: partial small subunit ribosomal RNA
Rfam family: Eukaryotic small subunit ribosomal RNA
Source: RNAcentral
CCAAUAGCGUAUAUUAAAGUUGUUGCAGUUAAAAAGCUCGUAGUUGAAUUUCGGGAUCAGUGGGUCGGUCGUGCCACUGGUAUGCACUGGCCCUAUUGGUUCCUCCUUCUUGAAGAACUGUAAUGCCAUUAAUUUGGUGUUGCAGGGAAACAGGACUGUUACUUUGAAAAAAUUAGAGUGUUUAAAGCAGGCAAUCGCUUGAAUACAUUAGCAUGGAAUAAUGAAAUAGGACGAUCGAUCCUAUUUUGUUGGUUUCUAGGAUUGAAGUAAUGAUUAACAGGGAUAGUUGGGGGCAUUAGUAUUCAAUUGUCAGAGGGGAAAUUCUUGGAUUUAUUGAAGACUAACUACUGCGAAAGCAUUUGACAAGGAUGUGUUCAUUAAUCAAGAACGAAAGUUAGGGGAUCGAAGACGAUCAGAUACCGUCGUAGUCUUAACCAUAAACUAUGCAGACUAGGGAUCGGAUGAUGUUAAUUUUUUAAUGACUCAUUCGGCGCCUUACG